GGCGCGGGCAUGGCCGGCGCCCGGGCCGGGGAGUCCCCGGAGGGGCGCGGGGGCCGCCCGCCCGCCGGGCGCGGGGCUCCUGCGCCCGCCCUCCCCCGCCUGCCUCCCGCCUAACCCGCGAUCGCUCCCCCCCUUCCCCCGCCGAGGCGAAGCUGGAGCCGCAGGAGAUCCGCCGGGCACAGGGAGGGGACAGGGAUGGGUUGUUUUCUCUCCCCCGCCCGCCCCGAGACCUGAGGAGAUGCAGCCCAAGUUCGCCGCGAUGACUCUGCUGCUGGCACCGGGGUUUCUCCGCGGCAUCGCAGCCUCCGGACCGCCUGAAUCCUGCUCCCUCUGAAUCGUCGGCGCCGGGUUAAAGCUCAGUUCUCAUGUUGUGGUUGCUGGGCUGCCGCGCUCCCGUUUUGCGAUGGGAGGUGGAGGAAAAGGGAUUGUCCGUGAGUCAACACCGAAAACGUGAUUAGGAUGAACUGCUUUCACUAAUCUGUUUCUAACCUUUCAGUCCAUGUUGGCCUGUGACCCCUCUCAGCUUUCACAUCCAGCCCGAUCAGACCACAACACUGGUCUCCCUAUGGAAGCAACUGUUUGUAUCUGGCUUUGAGGUCCCAUGGAGAAGCUGAGGAGGGGGAUGGCUCUUCACAUCCAUGAAGCCUGGAUACUUCUGUUUGUGCUCCCUGGUUUGGUCACUCCAGCUGCCAUCAACCAUGAAGAUUACCCCGCUGACGAAGGGGACCAGACCUCCAGUAAUGACAAUCUGAUCUUUGAUGAUUACCGGGGGAAGGGCUGUGUGGAUGACAGUGGCUUUGUGUACAAACUGGGAGAACGUUUUUUCCCAGGACAUUCCAACUGUCCCUGUGUCUGUACUGAGGAUGGACCUGUUUGUGAUCAACCAGAAUGCCCUAAAAUCCACCCAAAGUGCACAAAAGUGGAACACAAUGGAUGCUGUCCAGAAUGCAAAGAAGUGAAAAACUUUUGUGAAUAUCAUGGGAAAAAUUACAAAAUCUUGGAGGAAUUUAAGCCCUCGCCAUGCGAAUGGUGUCGCUGCGAGCCCAGCAAUGAAGUUCACUGUGUUGUAGCAGACUGCGCAGUCCCCGAGUGUGUCAACCCGGUCUAUGAGCCAGAGCAGUGUUGUCCUGUCUGCAAAAAUGAAAUUCCUGAAAUGGCCAGAUUUUAAGAUUGCACUUAAACCCCCUUCAGUCCCAGUCUAUGCAAUGUGCUGGUUGGUUGUGCAGAUGCAAGGGAAUGUGCCCAGCCAAGGAGAAGAAGUGAGUGCUCCCCACGCCGGAUUUUGCUGGACUCCACCAUCCUCUCCCCAGCUCCUGCAGCUGAAGGCAGUAGCAUAGCACAGCCCCUUCACCCUGCAUGGUUGGGAAUUACUGAUGGCAGCCAACCUUUGGGGCACUUGGUCACCCCACGGCCACCACCCCCCUCAGGUGUCAGCCCGAGGGGCCACAGGAAGGACCGGACGAUGCUCUUUGGGAUGGCCAGCAGGAGUGUGGACUGUGGAGCCCUCUGAGCUCAGCUGAAGCAGUGGUUUGAUUACCAACAGAGGAAAUAAAGGAUUGAUUUGAAAGCUGGUAGAAGAUCAAGACUGAAAAUGAAGAGGUGUAUUUGAGCCAGGCAGACACCAACCUGACAAAAUACUCCAGUGCUUGCUUUACUGUUCCUUAAGAAGUCAUUUCUCUGAAACUGAUUUUCAGUGGAGCUCGUCCAUCUGAUCACUUCGGGCCAAAGGGUUAAAGGCAUGUCGGUGCUGAACUUGACACAAAAGCAUCUGUCAAAACCUAGAUCCUCCACUGCCUUGGAAAUCUCCAGCACUUGGAUUCUCCAGAUGCUCAAAUGCCCUGCUGACUCAAGAUGGUUCACAGCUUUUGGAAGAGGCCUCUGUAACAGUGAAAACUGGAAAAGCUGAAACCUCCAAAAUUAGCCAUGCUGAUGUUAGACAGCAUCAGGGAGGGCUGAGUUGAAUCUGCCACCUUGUGAAGUUUCAGAGGAAGUGAGACUGAGAGCGACAAGGGAGAGGAAAAGCCUUUAGAGAACAAAAAAGCCCUGAACUGAGCAGCACUUAAUGUGAUUAAAGCCAUCCCAGAGCUCAGUGCUCACACAAAGCCAGGCUGCUGGGCUGUGCAGUGGCAGGGAUGCUGCUGCAGAGCUCCAUUCCCAGGGAGCUGCAGCCUGGAGCCAGCAGGACAGCGGCCCCUGAACCUGGUGUGUUCACCUGCACCCCAAGCCUCUGUGCUCUCUGCCCUGCCAGCAAGAAAGGGAUCAUUCACCAAUUAAACAGGCAGGAAAAGGCUCUGCCUGGCUGCUGCAGGCCAGGCAGGAGCUGAAAGCUGCUGGCCUGAAUUGAUACCCCAGGUCCCGACCAUGCUCCUGUGCUUCCACCACAGCAGAGUGCAGAUGAAUGUAACAGCACCCUGAAGGGAGGAUCAUGGAAGGGUCAGGGAGGAUCAUGAGGAGCCAUUUGUGGGACAGGAGCAGCUCCAAAGCUCUCUUUCAGCUCUCAGAGAUGUGGGAAACACGUUACCUGCUCUGCAUUACUCCUCAGACUCAGAAAUAUUUAUGAAGAAGCUUUUGCUCAUCAUGGUUGUCCCCCCUUGGGGAGAUGUUGCUGAAGUUUGUGUGCACUGGCCUGUGAGAGUGCUAGUUCAAGGUUCACUGUCACCAUGAUCGUGUCUUGUAGAGAAGGGCUGGGUUAGGGGUUUUGGAGGGGAGGGAAGGGUUCCUACAUUCCAGCUGGGAAGCCAGGUUCCUUAGCAGAACACAAGGAGCCUGGGCAGUACUGAAAUUAAAGCAGGCAUUGUGUUGCUGUUCCCCACCUGGUUCUCGGUGUGACUUUAAAAUACCAGAAGUGACUUUAUGAUCCAAUGACACUGCUGUAAACCACUUUGCUGCAAGAGAAGCUGAAAGCCAAAUCCUGUGUCGGUGUCACUUGGUGUAAAACAGCAUUUUUUACUCUGAUUUACUCCAGCUGAGGAUCUGACCUGCUGGUACCUCUGGGUGGCUCAGAGGCACACUGCAGGAGGCUGGGGUGUUUUGCAUGGCCAGGGUUCUGAAAGGAUUAGAGAGGCUUUGCUUUGGCUGGCCAGAAGGUUGGGGUUGUGAGGCAUGUCUGUGUGAGAAGAGUGGCAGACACUGUCUUCGUGUAUUUCUCAUUUGAUGAAUGUUUAAUGCUUCUUUAUUGGAGCCUACACAUAUGUAGAGUAGAGGUCUUUAAGAAGGGGUUGACUUAUUUCAAAUAAUUUAUGUCUGAGCUGCUCCUUUUACAUGAAAUGCAGACUUUACAGAGCAAAGAGACUGAAAUGAAAAUAUGAAUUAAAGAUUAGAGCUAAGCAAGUCUGAGAACACUCAGAAUUAAGAAAGGCUUACAAGUUUUCUCCUCCUGCUUCCUUUCCUUCCCUCCACCUUUCCUACAUCUCCAUCCCCUCUCCUUUGGCAGGGUGCUGCAUUCCAGGGCAGCCUUGUGUCCCUCCCACAGGGCACAGCAGGGCACACAGUUACUGUGUGGCCAUACACUACCCCAGCCUGUCACCUAACUCACCCAUCCCUUUGGCUGCAGAGACUAAAAGGGGGUUGAAGGUGUUUCUCUUCAUCUCUCUCCCUGAUUUGCUGGUGAAGUGCCUCACCUGGACAGAACAAAAAGGAGUGCAUUUUGCCAGAGGGACCCUCCAUUUGCAGCACAGCCAGGUCCCAACUGCUUUGCGGGCACCACCAUCAUUCCCGCGGGCAUCGAGGUGAAGGUGGACGACUGCAACAUCUGCCACUGCCACAACGGGGACUGGUGGAAGCCAGCAC
RNA transcript from Zonotrichia leucophrys gambelii, 3789 nucleotides. It is a transcript of the gene named von Willebrand factor C domain containing 2 like, with no coding region annotated. The record is from RefSeq and is a predicted model, not a curated record. The transcript is spliced from 5 exons. NCBI's taxonomy places the organism in Eukaryota, Metazoa, Chordata, Aves, Passeriformes, Passerellidae.